Molecule: ribosomal RNA, 710 nt
Filed under: uncultured bacterium
Lineage: Bacteria
Description: bacterial SSU rRNA
Rfam family: Bacterial small subunit ribosomal RNA
Source: RNAcentral
GGUAGCACAAGGGAGCUUGCUCCCUGGGUGACGAGCGGCGGACGGGUGAGUAAUGUCUGGGAAACUGCCUGAUGGAGGGGGAUAACUACGGGAAACGGUAGCUAAUACCGCAUAACGUCGCAAGACCAAAGAGGGGGACCUUCGGGCCUCUUGCCAUCAGAUGUGCCCAGAUGGGAUUAGCUAGUAGGUGGGGUAAUGGCUCACCUAGGCGACGAUCCCUAGCUGGUCUGAGAGGAUGACCAGCCACACUGGAACUGAGACACGGUCCAGACUCCUACGGGAGGCAGCAGUGGGGAAUAUUGCACAAUGGGCGCAAGCCUGAUGCAGCCAUGCCGCGUGUGUGAGGAAGGCCUUCGGGUUGUAAAGCACUUUCAGCGAGGAGGAAGGUGGUGAGCUUAAUACGCUCAUCAAUUGACGUUACUCGCAGAAGAAGCACCGGCUAACUCCGUGCCAGCAGCCGCGGUAAUACGGAGGGUGCAAGCGUUAAUCGGAAUUACUGGGCGUAAAGCGCACGCAGGCGGUUUGUUAAGUCAGAUGUGAAAUCCCCGGGCUCAACCUGGGAACUGCAUUUGAAACUGGCAAGCUAGAGUCUCGUAGAGGGGGGUAGAAUUCCAGGUGUAGCGGUGAAAUGCGUAGAGAUCUGGAGGAAUACCGGUGGCGAAGGCGGCCCCCUGGACGAAGACUGACGCUCAGGUGCGAAAGCGUGGGGA